RNAcentral lists this transfer RNA (75 nucleotides) under bacterium. Its description in RNAcentral is "tRNA-Val". It matches the Rfam family "tRNA". From Rfam's summary of the family: Transfer RNA (tRNA) molecules are approximately 80 nucleotides in length. Their secondary structure includes four short double-helical elements and three loops (D, anti-codon, and T loops). Further hydrogen bonds mediate the characteristic L-shaped molecular structure. tRNAs have two regions of fundamental functional importance: the anti-codon, which is responsible for specific mRNA codon recognition, and the 3' end, to which the tRNAs corresponding amino acid is attached (by aminoacyl-tRNA synthetases). tRNAs cope with the degeneracy of the genetic code in two manners: having more than one tRNA (with a specific anti-codon) for a particular amino acid; and 'wobble' base-pairing, i.e. permitting non-standard base-pairing at the 3rd anti-codon position. The record is from RNAcentral.
GACCGCUUAGCUCAGUGGUAGAGCGUCUCGUUUACACCGAGAAGGCCGCAGGUUCAAGUCCUGCAGCGGUCACCA